This 216-nucleotide ribosomal RNA is filed under the name Glomeromycotina sp. RNAcentral's name for it is "partial small subunit ribosomal RNA". The stretch from base 40 to 216 matches the Rfam family "Eukaryotic small subunit ribosomal RNA", at positions 686 to 864 of the family's 1831-position model. Lineage: Eukaryota; Fungi; Glomeromycota. The record is from RNAcentral.
GGGUCAGUAGGUUGGUCGUGCCACCGGUACGUACUGGUCUCAUUGAUUCCUCCUUCCUGAAGAACCGUAAUGCCAUUAAUUUGGUGUUGCGGGGAAACAGGACUGCUACUUUGAAAAAAUUAGAGUGUUUAAAGCAAGCUAACGCUUGAAUACAUUAGCAUGGAAUAAUGAAAUAGGACGAUCGAUCCUAUUUUGUUGGUUUCUAGGAUUGACGUA